GCCAGACUCCUACGGGAGGCAGCAGUGAGGAAUAUUGGUCAAUGGGCUUACGCCUGAACCAGCCAAGUCGCGUGAGGGAAGACGGUCCUAUGGAUUGUAAACCUCUUUUGUCGGGGAGCAAAAGACGCCACGCGUGGCGUUCCGAGAGUACCCGAAGAAAAAGCAUCGGCUAACUCCGUGCCAGCAGCCGCGGUAAUACGGAGGAUGCGAGCGUUAUCCGGAUUUAUUGGGUUUAAAGGGUGCGCAGGCGGAAGAUCAAGUCAGCGUUAAAAUUGAGAGGCUCACCCUCUUCGAGCCGUUGAAACUGGUUUUCUUGAGUGAGCGAGAAGUAUGCGGAAUGCGUGGUGUAGCGGUGAAAUGCAUAGAUAUCACGCAGAACUCCGAUUGCGAAGGCAGCAUACCGGCGCUCAACUGACGCUCAUGCACGAAAGUGUGGGUAUCGAACAGGAUUAGAUACCCGCGUAGC
This 466-nucleotide ribosomal RNA is filed under the name uncultured bacterium. RNAcentral's name for it is "bacterial SSU rRNA". It matches the Rfam family "Bacterial small subunit ribosomal RNA", at positions 330 to 794 of the family's 1533-position model. The record is from RNAcentral.